UGGCGGACGGGGUGAGUAAUGUCUAGGAAACUGCCCGAUGGAGGGGGAUAACUACUGGAAACGGUAGCUAAUACCGCAUAAAGUCGCAAGACCAAAGAGGGGGACCUUAGGGCCUCUUGCCAUCGGAUGUGCCCAGAUGGGAUUAGCUAGUAGGUGGGGUAAUGGCUCACCUAGGCGACGAUCCCUAGCUGGUCUGAGAGGAUGACCAGCCACACUGGAACUGAGACACGGUCCAG
Molecule: ribosomal RNA, 236 nt
Filed under: uncultured bacterium
Lineage: Bacteria
Description: partial 16S ribosomal RNA
Rfam family: Bacterial small subunit ribosomal RNA
Source: RNAcentral